GGAACAGUGCCCUACCAAUGCUGUUUACAGUGGCGGUGGGCAGCUGUUGACCUCAACUGGGGAUGUCGUCGGGCGGUGGAAGGAGUACUUCGAGGAUCUCCUCAAUCCCGCCGUCACGUCUUCCAUUGAGGACUGUCAGGUCCCUGUACGACCGAAGCAGGAGCUUGGUCCGCAUUGCCGGCAGUAAGUCAGACUUGUUCCCGGUGCAUGUUGGACUCCGGCAGGGCUGCCCUUUGUCGCCGGUUCUGUUCGUAAUUUUCAUGGACAGAAUUUCUAGGCGCAGCCAGGGGCCAGAGGGUGUCAGGUUUGGGGACCACACGAUUUCGUCUCUGCUCUUUGCGGAUGAUGUUGUCGUGUUGGCCCCUUCAAAUCAGGAGCUUCAGCAUGCACUGAGACGGUUUGCAGCCGAGUGUGAAGCGGUUGGGAUGAAAAUCAGUACCUCCAAAUUCGAUGGUCUUCAGUCGGAAAAGGGUGGCUUGCCCACUUCAGGUUGGUGGAGAGUUCUUGCCUCAAGUGGAGGAGUUUAAGUAUCUAGGGGUCUUGUUCACGAGUGAGGGAAGGAUGGAACGGGAGAUUGACAGACGGAUCGGUGCAGCUUCUGCAGGAAUGCGGUCUUUGUAUCGGUCUGUCAUGGUGAAGAUAGAGCUGAGUCGCAAGGCCAAGCUCUCGAUUUACCGGUCAAUCUACGUUCCAACUCUCACCUAUGGUCAUGAGCUUUGGGUCAUGACUGAAAGGACAAGAUCCCGGAUACAGGCGGCCGAAAUGAGCUUUCUCCGCAGGGUGGCUGGGUGAUCCCUUAGAGAUAGGGUGAGAAGCUCGGUCACCCAGGAGGAGCUCAGAGUAGAACCGCUGCUCCUCCACAUUGAGAGGGGUCAGAUGAGGUGGCUUGGGCAUCUGUUUCGGAUGCCUCCUGAACGCCUUCCCGGGAAGGUGUUCCAGGCCCAUUCCAACGGGUGGAGACCCCGGGGAAGACCUAGGACACGCUGGAGGGACUAUGUCUCCCAGCUGGCCUGGGAACGCCUCGGUGUCCCCCCGGAAGAGCUGGAGGAAGUGUCUAGGGAGAGGGAAGUCUGGGCAUCUCUGCUUAGACUGCUGCCCCCGCGACCCGGCCCCGGAUAAGCGGAAAGAAGAUGGAUGGAAGGAAGUCAUUAAAACUUCUCCAUCCGGGUUACGGCACCAUGCUGUUAGAAAUCAGCCGUUUUGUAUUGUGGUUGAAAUAAUCAUUGCGUACCAUGGGAGAGAGUAAUUCAAUUAUUUAUUGCAGCAUUCGAUAGUCAAUUGUUCAUGAUGUUACAGACUGUAUUAAAACUUGAUCUCAUCUCACUCAAUCUCAAAGAACAUACGGUUGUACCUCUACUUUAUAGAUAUUGCAACCUGGAAUACACAUCACAGUACUGUAAGCCCAUUGGCUAGUUACUGUAGCGCUUUGAAUAAACAUGACUUUCCGUGUACGGAUUAACAGAUCCUUUGUGAACCUGUUGGUACUCUGAAGAAAGACAGUGAUUACACGUGGUAGAGCUGUCAGGGAAUAUGCUUUGAAGCUUAGUCCUGGAAUAGUUUUGUCCAUGUAAGAUCGUAAAAAUAUGAGACAAUAUAAAAUGUAUACAUGCCUGUAAAAUUUGCCUUAAACAGACAAUCUGGACCCAUGGAUUCACAACAUGUGUCAGUCAUGGGAUCGGAUGUGCAUCACUCUCAAAAAGAUCCUACAGGAGAGGAGGCAAAAUGCAGUUCACUACAAACUACAGCGAUAAGACCAGAAACACAAGUUGAAAAUGCCACCUAUGCCCAAGUGAUCAAAACCAAGAAGAAAGGAAAUGAGCCUGUGUACAGUCUUCUGAUGAAAAAAUAGAGGACAUUGUGCUACUGUCAACUUUGUCAUUCCAGUUUAUAAAAUAGUAUUCAGUGUGCCUUGAAAGGAUGUAAACACCUUGUGCAAUUAUAGCUCUUUAGUUUUCAACCGUGAAAUGUUUAAUUGAUGAGAACCUUUUUUCAUCUGACAAAACAGCUUUAUAGUUACCUAUUGCAUUUGUUGGUUUAUAGGAAAUCAUGCAUUUAGUAGAUAAAUAAAAUACAAAAUUAAUUAAUGUAGAUGCAAAAAUAAAUAUAGCUCAAUCUGAAGUGGUUAAAUCCAGUAGGUAAGUAGAAUCAGGUCUGUAAUUAAUUGGGUAACAAAUGAACCCAUCGAAGUAGGGAUCUGUAGGAAAGAGUUUAAGUGGGACAUGCAACCUGGUCAGUUUGGUGUUACCCAUACAGGUAAAUGCAAAAAAACACCAUGCCAAAGUAAAGGAGUUCUCUGCGAACAUCAAGAAGAGGGUAAUGUGAGCAAAUCAGUCUGAGGAAAGCUAUACAACCAUCUAAAAAGGUAUGCUCCAGUAGUCCACUGUGAAGCAAUCAUUUACAGAUGGAAAGCAAUUAACAUCACCGCAACUCAGCUUAGAAGUGGAUGUCCUUCCAAAAUAUCCCCUAGAGCCCCUGGUCAACUGCACGUCAUCAACUUUAUAAUGAAUUCUGAGGUUUCCCAGGAGUUUCUUGAACAGAAUGUAAGGCCAUCAGUCAAUAAUGGAUGGCCUUACAAGACAAUGACGAAACUAUUUGUGUUUUGGAUUGGCCAAACCAUAGUUCUAACCGUAAUCCAAUUCCAAUGGUUUGGCAGGAUUUGAAGCGUGCAGUAAAUGCCAGACAACCCUCAAACCUCACCCAAUUGGUGGAGAUCCAUAAAGAGGAGUGACCAAAAAUCUUUACCAGAGACAUUAAAUCAAAGUUAUCACUGCUAAUUGAGGUGACAAAAGCUAUUAAAUUAAGGGGUUUCACAUAUUUUUGUACACAUUAAAUCACUUUUGUAAAAUGAACAAUGAACAUAUAUGCUUUUGUUUGUGUCCUUUAUUUGUCUUUAUUACAAAUUAGGGUUUCACAAAGGUUUUUGGGAGUUUAUUUUAA
Molecule: long non-coding RNA, 2937 nt
Organism: Esox lucius (northern pike)
Lineage: Eukaryota; Metazoa; Chordata; Actinopteri; Esociformes; Esocidae
Source: Ensembl